AUGUUGAAGAAAAAGCUCGGGCUAAAGAUACCACUGAAAAAGGAGGUGAGGAUCAGCCUACUGCUAACAUGGUGUAGAGGUACCCACAGAACAAGAACAAAGGGAAGAACAAACCUGUUUCCAACAAACUUUUCCAAGGAAUGCCCUGAACGUGCAGACCCCAGAGGGAAAACAAGCUCCAAGACUGUCAACAUGGUGACCGCUAGCAAUACUGAUGGGUAUGGUCGCAAGGGAUUCUUCCGUCCUAAUGGGGAAUGGGUCACAUGCUUCUGUUCGUGGCAUUGGCACGGUGGAUCUGAAGUUUACUUCGGGAAAGAUCGUGCAACUAAGGAACAUGUAGCAUGUCCCUACUAUGAACAAGAAUCUAGCUAUGAGUGCGGAGGCUUGUUCCUCUUUUCUCUUUCAGAUUUUUGCAAUAAGUCAAUAAACCAAAUUUGUGCUAGUGUUAAAGAUGAUGCAAGUAUUUGGCACUCUCGUUUAUGUCAUAUUAAUUUUGGUUUAAUGUCUCGGCUAUCCAGCAUGAGUUUAAUUCUGAACUUCACAGUUGCCAAAGGUUCUAAGUGCCAUAGUUGUGUGCAAUCUAAGCAACCUCGAAAGCCUCAUAAGGCUGCCGAGGAGAGAAACUUGGCACCUCUAGAACUCAUACAUUCUGAUCUUUGUGAGAUGAAUGGUGUGUUGACAAAAGGUGGAAAGAGAUAUUUCAUGACUUUGAUUGAUGAUGCGACUAGAUUUUUCUAUGUUUAUUUGUUGCAAACUAAAGAUGAAGCAUUAGACUACUUUAAAAUCUAUAAAGCUGAAGUUGAAAAUCAACUAGAGAGAAAGAUCAAGCGUCUUAGGUCCGAUCGUGGUGGAGAGUAUUUUCCAAAAGUUUUUGAUGAAUUUUGUGAGGAACAUGGUAUUAUUCAUGAGAGGACGCCUCCCUAUUCACCUCAAUCAAAUGGAGUGGCCGAGAGGAAAAACCGCACAUUGACUGACUUGGUGAAUGCCAUGUUAGACACUGCUGGUUUAUCUAAGGCAUGGUGGGGGGAGGCUCUAUUGACUUCAUGUCAUAUCCUGAAUAGAGUUCCCAAUAAUAAUAAAGAGAAAACCCCUUAUGAGGAGUGGGUUGGGAGAAAACCAUCACUUUCUUAUUUGCGCACUUGGGGAUGUUUGGCAAAGGUCAAUAUUCCUAUUCCUAAGAAACGCAAACUUGGACCAAAGACAGUGGAUUGUGUCUUUCUAGGGUAUGCUCAACGGAGCAUUGCUUAUAGGUUUUUAGUGGUAAAAUCUGAAAAGGAUAACAAUGAAGUUCCUAGAAGGAACAAGAGACAAAGGAUUGCAAAAUCCUUUGGUGAUGAUUUCAUUGUAUACCUUGUGGACGACACACCCAAGACGAUUGCAGAAGCAUAUGCAUCUCCGGAUGUAGAUGAUUGGAAAGAAGCUGUUCAUAAUGAGAUGGACUCAAUUCUUUCUAAUGGAACUUGGGCACUAACUGAUAGACCAUAUGGUUGUAAACCUGUGGGCUGUAAGUGGGUGUUCAAAAAGAAGCUAAAGCCUGAUGGUACUAUUGAUAAAUACAAGGCGCGGCUAGUGGCCAAGGGCUACACUCAGAAAGAAGGAGAAGAUUACUUUGACACCUAUUCACCCGUUGCUAGAAUGACCACCAUUCGAGUGUUACUUUCCUUGGCUGCCUCUUAUGGUCUUGUCAUUCAUCAAAUGGAUGUAAAGGCAGCUUUUCUCAAUGGAGAGUUGGAAGAGGAGAUCUAUAUGGAUCAGCCUGACGGGUUUGUGGUAAAGGGUGAAGAGAGAAAGGUGUGCAAGUUGUUAAAAUCUUUGUAUGGUCUGAAACAGGCACCUAAGCAAUGGCAUGAGAAGUUUGAAAGAACUUUGACUUCUGCAGGAUUUGUCAUUAACGAGGCUGAUAGGUGUGUUUACUAUCGCCAUGGUGGGGGCAAUAGUGUCAUAUUAUGUUUGUAUGUGGACGACAUACUGAUCUUUGGUACAAACAUUAAUGCAAUUAAUGAGGUCAAGUUUUUUCUAUCAAAAAGUUUUGACAUGAAAGAUCUGGGAGAAGCCGAUGUAAUUGUAAACAUCAAACUUAUUAAGGAUGAGAGUGGGAUUACAUUAACGCAAUCUCACUAUGUUGAGAAGGUCUUGAACCGAUUCGGUUUUAUGGAUAGCAAGUCUUAUCCAACACCUUAUGAUCCCAGCAUGACACUCAGAAAGAACAAGAAAGAAACGAGAGAUCAAUUAAGAUACUCUCAAAUUGUCGGUUCACUCAUGUACUUAGCUAGCGCUACAAGACCAGAUAUCUCUUUUGCUGUGAGCAAACUGAGUAGGUUCAUGUCCAACCCGGGUGAUGAUCAUUGGCAUGCACUAGAAAGGGUCUUGCGCUAUCUGAGAGGUACUAUGAGUUACAGAAUUACUUAUUCAGGGCAUCCUGCUGUGCUAGAAGGAUAUAGUGAUUCAAAUUGGAUCUCCGAUGUUGAUGUACUUUACGCAACAAGUGGGUAUGUAUUUACUCAUGGUGGUGGCGCAGUGUCAUGGAGGUCUUGCAAGCAAACCAUAUUGACGAGGUCAACUAUGGAAGCAGAAUUAACUGCUUUGGACACAGCUACUGUUGAGGCAGAAUGGCUGCGUGAGCUCUUGAUGGACUUGCCGGUUGUUGAAAAACCUGUACUGGCUAUUCUAAUGAAUUGUGAUAAUCAAACACGUGAAAAGACGUUUGAAGUCUGUCAGGAAGUUGAGAAACUCCGGAGUAAUAACUGUUACGUAUAUACAAACAGACAAAAACCUGGCAGAUCCCUUUACAAAGGGACUAUCACGAAAUGUGAUAGAUAUUGCAUCGAGGGAGAUGGGUAUGAGACCCAUAGAUGUUACACCAUAGUAGUAACCCAACCUUUGUGA
This 2886-nucleotide ribosomal RNA is filed under the name Triticum aestivum (bread wheat). RNAcentral describes it as "partial small subunit ribosomal RNA". The record is from RNAcentral. Lineage: Eukaryota; Viridiplantae; Streptophyta; Magnoliopsida; Poales; Poaceae.